UACGGGGGGGGCAAGCGUUGUUCGGAAUUACUGGGCGUAAAGGGCUCGUAGGUGGCCAACUAAGUCAGACGUGAAAUCCCUCGGCUUAACCGGGGAACUGCGUCCGAUACUGGAUGACUUGAGUUCGGGAGAGGGAUGCGGAAUUCCAGGUGUAGCGGUGAAAUGCGUAGAUAUCUGGAGGAACACCGGUGGCGAAGGCGACAUCCUGGACCAACACUGACGCUGAGUGAGCGAAAGCCAGGGGAGCAAACGGG
Molecule: ribosomal RNA, 254 nt
Filed under: uncultured bacterium
Lineage: Bacteria
Description: partial 16S ribosomal RNA
Rfam family: Bacterial small subunit ribosomal RNA
Source: RNAcentral